GUCAUCAUGCUUCCUGUACAGCCUGCAGAACCGUGAGCCAAUUAAACCUCUUUUCUUUCUAAAUUACCUAGGCUCAGCUAUUUCUUUAUCGUAGUGCAAGAAUGGAUUCAUACACUCUUUAAGUGUGAUAAACAAAACAAAUUACAAUCCUUAUUUCAGCUUUCUGUUUACCUUUUGCCUUUCUCUCAUUUAAACUGCCAACAUUCAAGGAAAGGAGAAGAGUUAAAACUUAUUUGAGUAAAUAUGAAGAUAUUCUAUGCCUUAUAUUUUAAAAAUGUAUUGCAUUUGGCAAUUCUUAUAACACACUGAACAGGUCAUUUUCCUAUUGUAUAAGAAAGGAAGCUAAGGCACAAAGCAAAUAUCUUAUUUUCCAGAAUCCUACAAUUUUGAAGUGUCAUUCCAUUCAGCCACACCAGGUCCAUUGCUAAAUUGAUUUAUUCUUGCUGUAUAGAGUUGGCAUCCCAUGGGUUACCCAGAUAGUAGUUCAUUCCUAAAUGGAACACAAUAAAUCUGGAACCUAAAUAAAGUGCUUUAUUGCCCUCUGUUUUGAAAAUCUAUAGUUAUUGUGCUGAGCGAGAGAAGAAAUGAUUAUCUUUAUGUGUUCAGAGAUUAAGACUAAUUUUGAUGGUGUUAAGAGUCAAAAACUAUGGAAGUUUUCAAUGGUAAUGCUUUUAAAGGAAGUAGCUCGCGAGACUUGCAGGGGUUGGAGUGGGCCGGGGGGCCGGCCGAGAGGAAAAUUGGAGGCUCAAGUGGGGUACAUGUCGGAGUUGGAGCUCGGCUGGAAGUGGGGCCGUGCCUGGCAGAUGCGGUCGUGAAGAUAGGUACUGGUUUUGGAUUUGGAAUUGUUUUCUCACCUUUAAAAGAAGAAUGUGGCGAUUAGCCUUCAGUUCUAGCAUGGGAUUAGGAAUGGCUUACUCCAACUGUCAGCAUGAUUUCCAGGCUCCAUAUCUUCUAUACGGAAAAUAUGUCAAAGAACAGGAACAGUGAUUUCACCUGAGAACAUCCCAGUGGGAGGACAAGAGAAAUCAUGUUUAUUCUUCAGGAAUAUUGAAGUCCCCUGGAGUAAGCUGCCAUUCUUCUGUAACAAUGUUAUCAGUAAUGCUUUAAACUCCAGCACCUGGUUAUGUAUUUGAAACCAAGUCUGUUUCUCGUUUUGUAUUUUCUCUCUGGAAAUUG
RNA transcript from Macaca mulatta (Rhesus monkey), 1176 nucleotides. It is a transcript of the gene named MICOS complex subunit MIC10 pseudogene, with no coding region annotated. Lineage: Eukaryota; Metazoa; Chordata; Mammalia; Primates; Cercopithecidae. The record is from RefSeq and is a predicted model, not a curated record.